GCAAGGAGCCACUCCACCGCGGGGCCGCGAGGCCACGAGGAAAGUCCGGGCAACGCAGGGCGCCCUGCUACCUAACGGGUAGGCCUGGCCAAUUGGGCCAGGACAGCCAGUGCCACAGAAAAUAACCGCCGACUUUUCAUUUAACAGUUAGCAAUUAACAUUUAACAAUUCUUAAAUGACUGUUAAAUAUUAAUUGCUAACUGUUAAAUGAAAAAGGUAAGGGUGAAAAGGUGCGGUAAGAGCGCACCAGCGGCUGGGUGACCAUGCCGGCUGGGUAAACCUCAGGGGUUGCAAGACCAAAUAGGCCAACGCGCUUUCUCCUCGGGGAAAGCACCGGGCGGCCCGCUCGGGUUGGCGGGUAGGUUGCUGGAGCCUAGGGGUGACCCUAGGCCUAGAUAAAUGGUGGGGCCGCCGCCCGUGGAAACACGGAAGGGCGGACAGAACCCGGCUUAUCGGCUUCUUGCCUAA
This 468-nucleotide RNase P RNA is filed under the name Hymenobacter polaris. RNAcentral describes it as "Bacterial RNase P class A". It matches the Rfam family "Bacterial RNase P class A". Rfam says of the family: Ribonuclease P (RNase P) is a ubiquitous endoribonuclease, found in archaea, bacteria and eukarya as well as chloroplasts and mitochondria. Its best characterised activity is the generation of mature 5'-ends of tRNAs by cleaving the 5'-leader elements of precursor-tRNAs. Cellular RNase Ps are ribonucleoproteins. The record is from Rfam by way of RNAcentral. Lineage: Bacteria; Pseudomonadati; Bacteroidota; Cytophagia; Cytophagales; Hymenobacteraceae.